RNAcentral lists this ribosomal RNA (495 nucleotides) under uncultured bacterium. RNAcentral describes it as "partial 16S ribosomal RNA". It matches the Rfam family "Bacterial small subunit ribosomal RNA", at positions 28 to 507 of the family's 1533-position model. The record is from RNAcentral.
GACGAACGCUGGCGGCGUGCCUAAUACAUGCAAGUAGGACGCUGAAGGAGGAGCUUGCUUCUCUGGAUGGGUUGCGAACGGGUGAGUAACGCGUAGGUAACCUGCCUGGUAGCGGGGGAUAACUAUUGGAAACGAUAGCUAAUACCGCAUAAGAGUAGAUGUUGCAUGACAUUUGCUUAAAAGGUGCAAUUGCAUCACUACCAGAUGGACCUGCGUUGUAUUAGCUAGUUGGUGGGGUAACGGCUUACCAAGGCGACGAUACAUAGCCGACCUGAGAGGGUGAUCGGCCACACUGGGACUGAGACACGGCCCAGACUCCUACGGGAGGCAGCAGUAGGGAAUCUUCGGCAAUGGACGGAAGUCUGACCGAGCAACGCCGCGUGAGUGAAGAAGGUUUUCGGAUCGUAAAGCUCUGUUGUAAGAGAAGAACGAGUGUGAGAGUGGAAAGUUCACACUGUGACGGUAUCUUACCAGAAAGGGACGGCUAACUACGUG